Molecule: ribosomal RNA, 117 nt
Filed under: Sinocyclocheilus grahami
Lineage: Eukaryota; Metazoa; Chordata; Actinopteri; Cypriniformes; Cyprinidae
Source: RNAcentral
GACCACAGCCAUAUCCCCCUGCAGCCCAAGACUGGUUGCCCACUGAAGCUAAGCAGGAUUGAGCCUGGUCAGUACCUGGAUGGGAGACCUCCUGGGAAAACUAGGUUGCUGUUGGAA